CAACCUUUACCUACCUGGUGCUGAGAUGGAUCCAAUUGCAGUGAAUGCUGCUGGACAGAUCUGGUAAACACAAACGUAUAGGGAGUGUGAGCUGAACAACUCAACUCCCACCUCCAGAAGAAUUUCUUGCACAACUUAAGACUGCCAUUUCCACCAGAAUCAAUCAACACCUCUCUGAAGUGGCAGAAAGCCACACAAUAAGGUCUGCUUUGUGAGUUUGAUAACUUUGUCACCAUCAGCAAUCCGGUCAGCUUUAAUGCCUCCAGAGCUGGUUGGGUUCCCUCUGCUAUAAACCAUUUCAGGUGUUGCCAGCUUCAAGGGGCAUGGCCUAUUUUGUGUGUGUGUGUUACAACAAAAUGUUCUAAAUAAG
This is a long non-coding RNA of Micropterus dolomieu (smallmouth bass), 370 nucleotides long. RefSeq lists it as uncharacterized. The record is from RefSeq and is a predicted model, not a curated record. Lineage: Eukaryota; Metazoa; Chordata; Actinopteri; Centrarchiformes; Centrarchidae. The transcript is spliced from 3 exons.